UAAGUACCGAAGCUGUAGACCCAAGCCUAGCUUGGGUGGUAGGAGAGCGUUCUAUAGGCGUUGAAGAUGUACCGGUAAGGAGCGUUGGAGCGUAUAGAAGUGAGCAUGCAGGCAUGAGUAGCGAUAAUUAAUGUGAGAAUCAUUAACGCCGUAAACCCAAGGUUUCCUACGCGAUGCUCGUCAUCGUAGGGUUAGUCGGGUCCUAAGCAAAGUCCGAAAGGGGUAUGCGAUGGAAAAUUGGUUAAUAUUCCAAUACCAACAUUAUUGUGCGAUGGAAGGACGCUUAGGGCUAAGCAAGCUAGCGGAUGGAAGUGCUAGUCUAAGGUAGUAGGUUGUUAUACAGGCAAAUCCGUAUAACAUUAGACCGAGAACUGAAAGGCUUUCUGAAGUCUUCGGAUGGAAGGAAGAAUUGCUGAUGCCGUCGAGCCAAGAAAAGUUUCUAAGUUUAGAUAAUGUUGCCCGUACCGUAAACCGACACAGGUGGGUGGGAUGAGUAUUCUAAGGCGCGUGGAAGAACUCUCUUUAAGGAACUCUGCAAAAUAGCACCGUAUCUUCGGUAUAAGGUGUGGUUAGCCUUGUAUUAGGAUUUACUCCGAAAGCAAGGAAACUUACAACAAAGAGUCCCUCCCGACUGUUUACCAAAAACACAGCACUCUGCUAACACGUAAGUGGAUGUAUAGGGUGUGACGCCUGCCCGGUGCUCGAAGGUUAAUUGAUGGGGUCAGCAGCAA
RNAcentral lists this ribosomal RNA (731 nucleotides) under Campylobacter coli. Its description in RNAcentral is "partial 23S ribosomal RNA". It matches the Rfam family "Bacterial large subunit ribosomal RNA", at positions 1188 to 1898 of the family's 2925-position model. The record is from RNAcentral. Lineage: Bacteria; Pseudomonadati; Campylobacterota; Epsilonproteobacteria; Campylobacterales; Campylobacteraceae.